GAAAGGGCUGUAGCUCAGUUGGAGAGCAUCUGCUUUGACUGCAGAAGGUCCCAGGCUUAAUCCCCAGCAUCUUCA
This is a non-coding RNA of Podarcis lilfordi (Lilford's wall lizard), 75 nucleotides long. The record is from the annotation of a GenBank genome assembly. NCBI's taxonomy places the organism in Eukaryota, Metazoa, Chordata, Lepidosauria, Squamata, Lacertidae.